Leptidea sinapis is the source of this 675-nucleotide long non-coding RNA. RefSeq lists it as uncharacterized. The transcript is spliced from 2 exons. The record is from RefSeq and is a predicted model, not a curated record. NCBI's taxonomy places the organism in Eukaryota, Metazoa, Arthropoda, Insecta, Lepidoptera, Pieridae.
AGCAAGUAGUCAUAGUUGUGAAAAGUAUUCAUUAUAUAUCUAUAGUCUAAAUUAAUUUUACUUUUGAUGAAAAAACUCUAAACAGGCAAGCUGCAAAAACAUCUACGCAACUGACUUAUUCGUAUACAAUAACUGAGGGAUUCACUUUAUCAGUUGGUAGACGGGGCUUCCCUCGUGACCUGCAGUAAUGUUAUCACUUAACCAGUAUUACAAAUACAGUCAAAACAUUGUCUUAUACUAAUUUGAAUCAUAUUACUUCGACAUUGAGUUUAUUAUACGUUUUAUUCGUUUCACAGACGCAAAUGUUUAUAUGGUAGACUUGCUAGAAUAUAUACCAGCGAUAUUCUGUAAUUCCUCACAACACUUAAAGCUCUCCAACAAUUCACAAGUGUCAAGGAAAUAUUUGAAAAUGAAUUUCUCAAAAACAUUUUUCUUCGUCUUCGCCUGCUUCUUAGCGCUUACCUCUGCAUCGCCAAAGUGGAAAAUAUUUAAGAAAAUUGAGCACAUGGGACAGAACAUUCGAGACGGAAUCAUCAAGGCUGGACCAGCGGUAGAAGUUGUCGGACAAGCCAGCUCGAUAUAUAAACAGGGAUGAAAUAAAUACUCAACUGAUGUGCCAAAUGUUAUUUUUAAGACUAUUUAAGUAUUAUUUUUUAAAUAAAUGUUUUAAGUAUU